RNAcentral lists this small nuclear RNA (107 nucleotides) under Octopus bimaculoides (California two-spot octopus). The record is from RNAcentral. Lineage: Eukaryota; Metazoa; Mollusca; Cephalopoda; Octopoda; Octopodidae.
GAACUUGCUUUGGCAGUGCAGAUUCUAAAAUUCGAACGAUACAAAGAAGAUUAGCAUGGACCCUGUGCAAGGAUGACACGCAAAUUCUUGAAGCGUUCCAUAUUUCU